AUGGAGAGACAGAUGCUACUCUUGAUUCUCAUUGUGGUUCCAGGUGGAUUUUCAGACAAAAUUGAACCAAGAGAAGGAGAUAGUAAUUUAAUCAAGGAAGAAGGAGAAUUUGUGAAACUGAGCUGUACGUAUGAUGUGGGCAGCAAUAAUAUUUGGCUUUACUGGUACAGACAGUAUCCAAAUGGAGAACCUCGGUUUUUACUGCUCAAAGGUGCUCGAUCACAGACCUAUGAGAAUAUAGAAGACAAGCGGUUUCAGUCGACUACAUCCCAGUCAUCCACUGAACUCAUUCUUGAGAAAGCAGCUCUGUCAGAUUCUGCUCUCUAUUAUUGUGCUCUUCGAGUGGCCCAGUGAUACAAAAUACCAGAGAAGCUUUACAAAAACUUAGAUUAAAAAAAUGUGCUUUGAACAGUGUUUAAUCAAAUAGUAUCAAACCACAAUGUAUUUGCAUUUUUGUUUUUGAAAACCACAACUCUAAAAAUUAGAAUGUGGCAACACCUGUGAAUUUAGGAGAAUAUGAAAGGGAAUACACAGGUGGUAUGUGAAACUAUCUCUUAUCAGUUCUAUUUGAAUACAAGUUAGCAAAGAAUGAAGGAGUACUGUUUAUGAUGACCAGCAGAAUGUCUGGAAUUCCCAAAUUUUUUGCUGGGACUUGAAACAUGAGUUAACACAUUGAAUGUCUUCAUAAAAAUGUAGCAAUGCAGAAAGGGUAAGAGGAUAUAAAGUGUCAUUAGCUCAGUAUUUAACAACAGAACUCAAAGCAGCCUGACAGAAAAACAAACCUGUGUGAUUAGUGGAUGGGUGAUGUCACUAACCACACCCACUUUGCAAAUACACAUUUGAAUGUCUACAUUCAUUCAAACUGCUGUGUCAGUGAAUUGUAUCUUCUUCUUCAUUCACAUUAAAUACAGGGAAUCCCUAAAGUCUGUCAUUUCAGUCUCUUGCAUCUCUGCAAACAUGAUUUGGAUUCAAGCAAAAUAAGUCACCCAGAAUAUUAACAUGGACAGAUGUCGACUGCUGAUUCUUAUGACAGGUACUCUUUUUUUAAAGUGUCAUUAAUAUACACAAACUACCUUUCAAAUGAUUUGAAAACAAAGAGAGAGAAAUAAAUAAUAUAAAAAUCGACAGGGUCAUUAUUGUAAUCUUAAAGAUUUAAUUAAAAUGCUUUAAUUAGUAUUUUAUUUUAUUUUUAUUAUAGCAUGUCACCAUUUUUUACAUUAUCAUUCUAAAGCAAAAUUCAUUUUUGUAGGGGUAUUUGCUGACAGCAUUGCGCCAAAAGAAGAGGGUUCAAAUAAAACCAGGAGAGAAGGAGAAUCUGUCACUCUGAGCUGCACAUAUAAAAGCACAAAUAAUGUUUUGCUUUACUGGUACAGACAGUAUCCUAAUAGAGAACCUCAGUAUUUGGUAUUUAAAAGUUCUCGCAUGUCUGGUCAAGAGAAUGUAUCAUCCAAGCGUUAUAAGACAACUACAUCUCCGACAUCCACUUCACUCACCAUUAACAACGUGAACCUGUCAGAUUCGGCUCUCUAUUACUGUGCUCUAAAAGUAGGAGCCCAGUGAUACAAAGUCCACAGACGCUUUACAAAAACACACACAUAAUUGGUGUGCCAGUGAGCCACCACAACUCUGUGUCUUAAACCACAAGACAACAGGAUGCGGUCACACCUGCUGAAGAAACAAAAAGUGCACCCCCACCUUUGUUGGUUAGGUCCACCUCUUUAGGCUUCCUCAAACUUGUUCUGAACUUAAUUGUGUGAACAUUUAGCAGAAUUGUGUGGUAUUUAUAUAUUGUUUACGCUGUUAAAACAGUUUAAAGUGUGGUUUACAUGCAUAACCUUUCAAAUGUUUUUUUUUCUUGUUGUUUUUUUACAUUAAUAGUUAUAUUAAGCAAAGGCACAUUCAAUUAAGCAGAAUUGACAGUAAUGACAUAACAAAAGAUUUCUAUUUCAAACUAAAAGUUUACAUUUUUAAAUGUGUUUCCAUACUGUACAUAACAGUUUUAAGGGGAGGGGCUACUGAGACAUUCUAACUGGAGGGGGGAAAAUUAAAUGCUUACUUCAGUGACAGUAAAAGGUGUUGCACAUUAACUUGCAUAUCGUCCUGAACAAUGAUACUCUUUGUUUUUAUUCUGUUUUCUAUUUCAGGUAUGUAUUCUGUUCCAGACUGGCAGGAUUUUUGAUUAUUGUUUGCUUAUCUUUUUAUCCAUUUCUUUAACAAGCUACAUUUCUUUCUGCAGGUAGUAUGUUUGGGAGUGUCAUUACACCGGUCCACAAUGAAGUAUACAAAACAGAAAAGGACAUUAUAUCCCUGUCCUGCAACUAUUCCUCAGCAGCGAGUCUAUAUUGGUAUCGUCAAUAUCCUGGAUCGGUUCCUGAAUUUCUUUUAGUCAUUCUACAUGCAAAUGGGAAAGUUUUACAGAAGUCUGAAGUUGUGGAACUAGAUCCCCGAUUCUCAGGAGAACUGAAUAAAGAGAAGACCCACACCUAUCUUGAAAUCUCCUCUGCUAAAGUGACAGACUCAGCAACGUACUACUGUGCCCUGGAGCCCACAGUGACAGGAAAAUAGACAACACUGUCCAAAAACCUUCCCUACAUAGAGGGUAAAGCAUACCACAGUGAACUGCAUCACAGUUAAUGUUGCAGAAAUAUGGGAGAAAAGAAAUCCCCAAAAAUAAACUGUAAACUAAUGUUUCUGAUGUACAGACUCAGUGUUGUUUGGUUGCUUACAUUUUGUAUGUGCAGAUGGGUUUGAAAGCUAAGACUGCUUUGCUAAGAACAUACUGGGGUUAGGUGAUGUUUGUAAAUAAGCUUUAUAAGCUGUAAUGGCUUAUACCUAACUCCAAAACCCUGAUUUAAUUUAAGAAAAAAUAAGUGACAAACAGAAGCAAUAGUAUUGAUUCAGUGAGAUUAGAUUGCCAUCUGGUGGGCUGUAAAAUAG
RNAcentral lists this long non-coding RNA (2937 nucleotides) under Carassius auratus (goldfish). RNAcentral describes it as "lncRNA (ENSCARG00000017246.1)". Lineage: Eukaryota; Metazoa; Chordata; Actinopteri; Cypriniformes; Cyprinidae. The record is from RNAcentral.